CCUACGGGAGACAGCAGUGAGGAAUAUUGGUCAAUGGGCGGAAGCCUGAACCAGCCAAGUAGCGUGAAGGAUGACGGCCCUAUGGGUUGUAAACUGCUUUUAUACGGGAAUAACGCGCAGUACGUGUAGGGCUUUGCAUGUACCGUAUGAAUAAGGAUCGGCUAACUCCGUGCCAGCAGCCGCGGUAAUACGGAGGAUCCGGGCGUUAUCCGGAUUUAUUGGGUUUAAAGGGAGCGUAGGCGGCUUGUCAAGUCAGGUGUGAAAUGUUGCGGCUCAACCGUAGACUUGCAGUUGAAACUGGCAUGCUUGAGUACACUUGAGGCAGGCGGAAUUCGUGGUGUAGCGGUGAAAUGCUUAGAUAUCACGAAGAACCCCGAUUGCGAAGGCAGCUUGCUGCACCGUAACUGACGCUGAUGCUCGAAAGUGCGGGUAUCAAACAGGAUUAGAUACCCGAGUAGUC
This 460-nucleotide ribosomal RNA is filed under the name uncultured bacterium. RNAcentral describes it as "partial 16S ribosomal RNA". It matches the Rfam family "Bacterial small subunit ribosomal RNA", at positions 338 to 795 of the family's 1533-position model. The record is from RNAcentral.